AUGGAGAUAUGUUUAUUGAUCCUCAUAAUCAUAUCAGGUGUGUUUUCUGACAGCAUUGGACCAAAUGAAGAGGAUAAGAGUAUAACCAGGAAAGACGGAGAGUCUGUGACAUUGAGAUGCUCAUAUGAUGCAAGCAGCAAUGAUAUUUUGCUUUACUGGUACAGACAGUAUACUAAACGAAAACCUGAGUAUUUACUGUUGAAAGGAGCUCGAUCAUACAAUGGAGCUGUUGAUAUACAAGAUCAACGGUUUCUGUCAACUACAUCCCAGACCUCCACUGAAAUCACUAUUAAGAGUGUAACUCUGUCGGAUUCAGCUCUCUAUUACUGUGCUCUAAGAGCAGCAGCCCAGUGA
Molecule: non-coding RNA, 354 nt
Organism: Carassius auratus (goldfish)
Lineage: Eukaryota; Metazoa; Chordata; Actinopteri; Cypriniformes; Cyprinidae
Source: the annotation of a RefSeq genome assembly